GAUGAACGCUAGCUGGAGGCUUAAUACAUGCAAGUCGAGCGGGAUUGGUAGCAAUACCAUGAGAGCGGCGCACGGGCGAGUAACGCGUACACGACCUACCUCUGACAGGGGGAUAGCCCUGGGAAACUGGGAUUAAUACCGCAUAUUAUUCUGAUUAAUAAAGGAUUGGAAUGAAAGCUGAGGCGGUCAGAGAUGGGUGUGCGUCUGAUUAGCUAGUUGGUAGGUAACGGCCUACCAAGGCGAUGAUCAGUAGGGGGCGUGAGAGCGUGGUCCCCCACACGGGUACUGAGACACGGACCCGACUCCUACGGGAGGCAGCAGUAAGGAAUAUUGGUCAAUGGGCGAAAGCCUGAACCAGCCAUCCAGCGUGCAGGAAGAAGGCCCUAUGGGUUGUAAACUGCUUUUAUCAGGGAAGAAACCUCUGGAUUUACUCCGGAGCUGACGGUACCUGAAGAAUAAGCACCGGCUAACUCCGUGCCAGCAG
This 484-nucleotide ribosomal RNA is filed under the name uncultured bacterium. RNAcentral's name for it is "bacterial SSU rRNA". It matches the Rfam family "Bacterial small subunit ribosomal RNA", at positions 28 to 514 of the family's 1533-position model. The record is from RNAcentral.